UGCAUUACACCAAUGGUGCUAACUGCUC
RNAcentral lists this small RNA (28 nucleotides) under Bombyx mori (domestic silkworm). RNAcentral's name for it is "ovarian small RNA-33607". The record is from RNAcentral. Lineage: Eukaryota; Metazoa; Arthropoda; Insecta; Lepidoptera; Bombycidae.